GUAAAACGCACUGGAGGACCGAACCGACUACCGUUGAAAAGUUAGCGGAUGACCUGUGGAUCGGAGUGAAAGGCUAAUCAAGCUCGGAGAUAGCUGGUUCUCCUCGAAAGCUAUUUAGGUAGCGCCUCAUGUAUCACUGUAGGGGGUAGAGCACUGUUUCGGCUAGGGGGUCAUCCCGACUUACCAAACCGAUGCAAACUCCGAAUACCUACAAGUGCCGAGCAUGGGAGACACACGGCGGGUGCUAACGUCCGUCGUGAAAAGGGAAACAACCCAGACCGUCAGCUAAGGUCCCAAAGUUAUGGUUAAGUGGGAAACGAUGUGGGAAGGCUUAGACAGCUAGGAGGUUGGCUUAGAAGCAGCCACCCUUUAAAGAAAGCGUAAUAGCUCACUAGUCGAGUCGGCCUGCGCGGAAGAUGUAACGGGGCUCAAACCAUACACCGAAGCUACGGGUGUCACUUAGGUGACGCGGUAGAGGAGCGUUCUGUAAGCCUGUGAAGGUGAGUUGAGAAGCUUGCUGGAGGUAUCAGAAGUGCGAAUGCUGACAUGAGUAACGACAAUGGGAGUGAAAAACUCCCACGCCGAAAGACCAAGGUUUCCUGCGCAACGUUAAUCGACGCAGGGUUAGUCGGUCCCUAAGGCGAGGCUGAAAAGCGUAGUCGAUGGAAAACAGGUUAAUAUUCCUGUACUUCUAGUUAUUGCGAUGGAGGGACGGAGAAGGCUAGGCCAGCUUGGCGUUGGUUGUCCAAGUUUAAGGUGGUAGGCUGAGAUCUUAGGUAAAUCCGGGAUCUUAAGGCCGAGAGCUGAUGACGAGUUGCCUUUAGGCGACGAAGUGGUUGAUGCCAUGCUUCCAAGAAAAGCUUCUAAGCUUCAGAUAACUAGGAACCGUACCCCAAACCGACACAGGUGGUUGGGUAGAGAAUACCAAGGCGCUUGAGAGAACUCGGGUGAAGGAACUAGGCAAAAUGGCACCGUAACUUCGGGAGAAGGUGCGCCGGUGAGGGUGAAGGACUUGCUCCGUAAGCUCAUGCCGGUCGAAGAUACCAGGCCGCUGCGACUGUUUAUUAAAAACACAGCACUCUGCAAACACGAAAGUGGACGUAUA
Molecule: ribosomal RNA, 1105 nt
Filed under: Salmonella enterica subsp. enterica serovar Typhimurium
Lineage: Bacteria; Pseudomonadati; Pseudomonadota; Gammaproteobacteria; Enterobacterales; Enterobacteriaceae
Description: partial 23S ribosomal RNA
Rfam family: Bacterial large subunit ribosomal RNA
Source: RNAcentral